GGGGUUGUAGUUAAGAAAUAACGUUUAAUUUGCAAUUAAAAAACACUAAAAUUUAAUAUAGUCCUCCUCA
RNAcentral lists this transfer RNA (70 nucleotides) under Dybowskyia reticulata. Its description in RNAcentral is "tRNA-Ala". It matches the Rfam family "tRNA". From Rfam's summary of the family: Transfer RNA (tRNA) molecules are approximately 80 nucleotides in length. Their secondary structure includes four short double-helical elements and three loops (D, anti-codon, and T loops). The record is from RNAcentral. Lineage: Eukaryota; Metazoa; Arthropoda; Insecta; Hemiptera; Pentatomidae.